AUGGGUUCUCUGCCGGACCUUGCUUUCGCCUUCGCUCGAUUUGUGGCCAGGGAACGCCGGGGCUUCCGUUUUCCUCACCGUACUUUUUGUCCGGCUGCUACUCGUCGCCAGAACUUCGGCCACCGCCAUCAGCGUCGCCUAAACAGGAAUGGCGGCCUCCGCCGCCGCAAUGCACCAUACCGUGCUCCUCUUCGUCGCUAUGGUUCUAGAGGUGGCCUCCUUCGCCGCCAUGCCAAUCGCCAGUGCCUUCACUGUGGUCACCGUCGGGUGCACCGCAGCAACUUCCCUGGAGCGCCACGACCGAGUACGAGGGUGGAUGCGCCCAGGGAAGACGUCCUGGUCAUGCCCCAAGAGGUUGUUGCCGCACCAAACGCUGUCGACGAACAGGUUGCUGCAGGAGCCAGGAUCGAGUACGAGGAUGAUGCCUCUGCCUCCAACAUCACCACGGAUGCCGCGGAACUGCCGCCUCCUCCGCCGGUGUACGCGCCCAUGGAGUGGAUGCUUGCCGGACAAGGCGCCGGAUGA
Molecule: ribosomal RNA, 525 nt
Filed under: Triticum aestivum (bread wheat)
Lineage: Eukaryota; Viridiplantae; Streptophyta; Magnoliopsida; Poales; Poaceae
Description: partial small subunit ribosomal RNA
Source: RNAcentral